This 478-nucleotide ribosomal RNA is filed under the name uncultured bacterium. RNAcentral's name for it is "partial 16S ribosomal RNA". It matches the Rfam family "Bacterial small subunit ribosomal RNA", at positions 28 to 523 of the family's 1533-position model. The record is from RNAcentral.
GACGAACGCUGGCGGCGUGCUUAACACAUGCAAGUCGAACGGUAAGGCCCUUCGGGGUACACGAGUGGCGAACGGGUGAGUAACACGUGGGUGAUCUGCCCUGCACUUCGGGAUAAGCCUGGGAACCCGGGUCUAAUACCGGCUAGGACUGCUGGCUUCAUGGUUGGGGGUGGAAAGCUUUUGCGGUGUGGGGUGGGCCCGCGGCCUAUCAGCUUGUUUGUGGGGUAAUGGCCUACCGAGGCGACGACGGGUAGCCGGCCUGAGAGGGUGACCGGUCACACUGGGACUGAGACACGGCCCAGACUCCUACGGGAGGCAGCAGUGGGGAUUAUUGCACAAUGGGCGCAAGCCUGAUGCAGCGACGCCGCGUGAGGGAUGACGGCCUUCGGGUUGUAAACCUCUUUCAGCUAUGACGAAGCGCAAGUGACGGUAGUAGCAGAAGAAGGACCGGCCAACUACGUGCCAGCAGCCGCCGUAA